This 253-nucleotide ribosomal RNA is filed under the name uncultured bacterium. Its description in RNAcentral is "partial 16S ribosomal RNA". It matches the Rfam family "Bacterial small subunit ribosomal RNA", at positions 524 to 776 of the family's 1533-position model. The record is from RNAcentral.
UACGGAGGGUGCAAGCGUUAAUCGGAAUGACUGGGCGUAAAGCGCACGCAGGCGGUUUGUUAAGUUGGAUGUGAAAUCCCCGGGCUUAACCUGGGAACUGCAUUCAAAACUGGCAGGCUAGAGUCUCGUAGAGGGGGGUAGAAUUCCAGGUGUAGCGGUGAAAUGCGUAGAGAUCUGGAGGAAUACCGGUGGCGAAGGCGGCCCCCUGGACGAAGACUGACGCUCAGGUGCGAAAGCGUGGGGAGCAAACAGG